Molecule: ribosomal RNA, 267 nt
Filed under: uncultured bacterium
Lineage: Bacteria
Description: partial 16S ribosomal RNA
Rfam family: Bacterial small subunit ribosomal RNA
Source: RNAcentral
CCUACGGGAGGCAGCAGUAGGGAAUAUUGGACAAUGGGGGCAACCCUGAUCCAGCAAUGCCGCGUGAGUGAUGAAGGCCUUAGGGUUGUAAAGCUCUUUUACCCGAGAUGAUAAUGACAGUAUCGGGAGAAUAAGCUCCGGCUAACUCCGUGCCAGCAGCCGCGGUAAUACGGAGGGAGCUAGCGUUGUUCGGAAUUACUGGGCGUAAAGCGCACGUAGGCGGCGAUUUAAGUCAGAGGUGAAAGCCCGGGGGUCUACCCGAACCCG